UAAACUAGGAUUAGAUACCCUAUUAUAUGAAAUGUAAAUUUAAGAUACUAAAUGAGUAUUAGUUAUGUUCUUGAAAAUUAAAAGAUUUGGCGGUAUUUUAGUCUUUUCAGAGGAAUCUGUUCUUUAAUUGAUAGUCCACGAUUCGAUGUACUUUAUUUAUUAGUUUACAUAUCGUCGUAGUUUGAAUAUUUUAGUAGAAUUAUUAAUAUUCAAUAUAUUUUAUUAAAAAAUAAAUCAGAUCAAGGUGUAGUUUAUAUUAAAGUAGUAAUGGAUUACAAUAAAUUUAUUUAAGGAUAGUUUUUAUUAUAAAAAUUUGAAAAUGGAUUUGAUAGUAAUUUUAUAGGGUUUUUUAAAAUGAUUAUAGCUCUAAAAUAUGUACACAUCGCCCGUCGCUCUUAA
This 399-nucleotide ribosomal RNA is filed under the name Acanthoscelides isla. Its description in RNAcentral is "partial 12S small subunit ribosomal RNA". Lineage: Eukaryota; Metazoa; Arthropoda; Insecta; Coleoptera; Chrysomelidae. The record is from RNAcentral.